RNAcentral lists this long non-coding RNA (1053 nucleotides) under Cyanistes caeruleus (blue tit). RNAcentral describes it as "lncRNA (ENSCCEG00000005550.1)". Lineage: Eukaryota; Metazoa; Chordata; Aves; Passeriformes; Paridae. The record is from RNAcentral.
AUGUCACAUGGAGUGCCUGAUGUCACAUGGAGUGGCUGGUGUCACACACAGUUGUUGGUGUCACACACAGUUUUUGGUGUCACACACAGUUCUUGGUGUCACACACAGUUUUUGGUGUCACACACAGUUGUUGGUGUCACACACAGUUCUUGGUGUCACACACAGUUCUUGGUGUCACACACAGCGGUUGGUGUCACACAGUUCUUGGUGUCACACAGUUUUUGGUGUCACACACAGUUCUUGGUGUCACACACAGUUCUUGGUGUCACACAGUUUUUGGUGUCACACACAGUUCUUGGUGUCACACACAGUUUUUGGUGUCACACACAGUUUUUGGUGUCACACACAGUUGUUGGUGUCACACAGUUGUUGGUGUCACACAGUUUUUGGUGUCACACACAGUUGUUGGUGUCACACAGUUGUUGGUGUCACACACAGCUGUUGGUGUCACACAGUUUUUGGUGUCACACACAGUUUUUGGUGUCACACACAGUUUUUGGUGUCACACACAGUGGUUGGUGUCACACACAGUUUUUGGUGUCACACACAGUGGUUGGUGUCACACACAGUUUUUGGUGUCACACACAGUGGUUGGUGUCACACACAGUUUUUGGUGUCACACAGUUUUUGGUGUCACACAAGUUUUUGGUGUCACACACAGUUUUUGGUGUCACACACGUUGUUGGUGUCACACACAGUGGUUGGUGUCACACACAGUUUUUGGUGUCACACAGUGGUUGGUGUCACACACAGUGGGGCUUUGCACCCGAGCCUUGCCAGUCUGUUCCAUUCUGUGCCGGCAGCCCCGGUGAGUGUCUCUGUCUCUCUCCCAGCAGUGUUUUGCAGCAGGCUGUGGUAGUGCACAUUCCUGGGCAGCCAGGCUGUGGGAGCACUUUUAGGGAUCUCAUUCCCGGGGCUCGUGCCCCUCUCCCGGCCGCUGGGGAAGCGCGGCGGCGGCGCGGUCAAGAGGCUCCGAGGAGCGCUCCUGGCGCGACAUUUCUCUCCACGAGAUUGCGGAUCAGACACUUAAUUCCUCGGGAAAAAAGCAGCUGA